This 463-nucleotide ribosomal RNA is filed under the name uncultured bacterium. RNAcentral describes it as "partial 16S ribosomal RNA". It matches the Rfam family "Bacterial small subunit ribosomal RNA", at positions 28 to 507 of the family's 1533-position model. The record is from RNAcentral.
GAUGAACGCUGACAGAAUGCUUAACACAUGCAAGUCGAUGGGGAAGUGGUGCUUGCACCCUGGCAACCAUGGCGGACGGGUGAGUAACGCGUAAGGGACUUACCUGCAGGACUGGGAUAACAGGGGGAAACUCCUGACAAGACCGGAUAAUGUCAUGGAGCUGCCUGGCUUUAUGAUGAAAGGAGACGCCUGCGGAGAGCCUUGCGUCCUAUUAGCUAGUUGGUGAGGUAAUGGCUCACCAAGGCGAAGAUAGGGAGCCGGCCUGAGAGGGUGGACGGCCACAAGGGGACUGAGAUACGGCCCUUACUCCUACGGGAGGCAGCAGUGGGGAAUAUUGGACAAUGGGGGCAACCCUGAUCCAGCAAUUCUGUGUGCACGAAGAAGGUUUUCGGAUUGUAAAGUGCUUUCAGCAGGGAAGAAGUAAGUGACGGUACCUGCAGAAGAAGCGACGGCUAAAUACGUG